RNAcentral lists this ribosomal RNA (497 nucleotides) under uncultured bacterium. Its description in RNAcentral is "partial 16S ribosomal RNA". It matches the Rfam family "Bacterial small subunit ribosomal RNA", at positions 30 to 507 of the family's 1533-position model. The record is from RNAcentral.
UACGAACGCUGGCGGCGUGCCUAAUACAUGCAAGUUGAGCGCUGAAGGUUGGUACUUGUACCAACUGGAUGAGCAGCGAACGGGUGAGUAACGCGUGGGGAAUCUGCCUUUGAGCGGGGGACAACAUUUGGAAACGAAUGCUAAUACCGCAUAAAAACUUUAAACACAAGUUUUAAGUUUGAAAGAUGCAAUUGCAUCACUCAAAGAUGAUCCCGCGUUGUAUUAGCUAGUUGGUGAGGUAAAGGCUCACCAAGGCGAUGAUACAUAGCCGACCUGAGAGGGUGAUCGGCCACAGUGGGACUGAGACACGGCCCAAACUCCUACGGGAGGCAGCAGUAGGGAAUCUUCGGAAAGGGACGAAAGUCUGACCGAGCAACGACGCGGGAGUGAAGAAGGUUGUCGGAUCGUAAAACUCGGUUGGUAGAGAAGAACGUUGGUGAGAGUGGAAAGCUCAUAAAGUGACGGUAACUACCCAGAAAGGGACGGCUAACUACGUG